GGCAGCCGAGCGAGGGCCUCGG
Molecule: microRNA, 22 nt
Filed under: Oryza sativa (Asian cultivated rice)
Lineage: Eukaryota; Viridiplantae; Streptophyta; Magnoliopsida; Poales; Poaceae
Description: osa-miR2907a
Source: miRBase by way of RNAcentral